RNAcentral lists this transfer RNA (60 nucleotides) under Ovis aries (sheep). Lineage: Eukaryota; Metazoa; Chordata; Mammalia; Artiodactyla; Bovidae. The record is from Rfam by way of RNAcentral.
GACUCAGAUGAUAAAGAAUCUGCCUUUAAUGCAGAAGACCCAGGUUCAAUCCCUGGGUCA